ACAGAGGGGGCAAGCGUUGUUCGGAAUUACUGGGCGUAAAGGGCGCGUAGGCGGCCUACUAAGUCAGACGUGAAAUCCCUCGGCUCAACCGAGGAACUGCGUCUGAUACUGGUGGGCUUGAGUUCGGGAGAGGAAUGUGGAAUUCCAGGUGUAGCGGUGAAAUGCGUAGAUAUCUGGAGGAACACCGGUGGCGAAGGCGGCAUUCUGGACCGACACUGACGCUGAGGCGCGAAAGCCAGGGGAGCAAACGGG
Molecule: ribosomal RNA, 252 nt
Filed under: uncultured bacterium
Lineage: Bacteria
Description: partial 16S ribosomal RNA
Rfam family: Bacterial small subunit ribosomal RNA
Source: RNAcentral